GGCGCGUUUGCCAUUACGAGCUUUGUGCGCCCCUCUCCUUUCUCUUCUUCUUCUUCAGGAUUUUUAUUUAAAAUUAAAGGAAAAAAUGGCGCUCCUGAAGGCCGUCCAUGUCUCCGACGUUCCCAAUCUCGAUCAGGUUCCAGAGAAUGCAUCUGUAGCUCUCUAUUCCCUUUCCAACACCUUCUCUGAAGGUGUUGAAUCUGUUUGCAACGGCGGCGAUGGUGGUAGAAAGUCGUCGCGGUUUAGAAUACCGAAGUUUAUGGUGAUCGGGCACAGGGGAAGCGGAAUGAACAUGAUGCAGUCGUCGGACCAGAGAAUGAAGGCGAUCAAGGAGAACUCUGUUCUCUCCUUCAAUGCCGCCGGAAAAUCCGAUAUUCACUUCAUCGAGUUUGAUGUUCAGGUCACAAAGGAUGACUAUCCAGUCAUUUUCCACGACAACUUCAUCCUUGCAGAAGAGAAGGGAAGCUUAAUUGAGAAAAGAGUUACAGACCUUACUUUAGCUGAAUUUCUCAGCCAUGGACCCCAGAGAGAGCCCAUAAAUGUGGGAAAGCCUUUGUUCAGAAAAAUAAAAGAUGGGAGAAUCUUCAAGUGGAACGUUGAGGUUGAUGAUCCUCUAUGUACCUUGCAAGAGGUUUUCCAGAAGGUCGAACACUCGUUGGGUUUCAAUAUCGAAUUGAAGUUUGAUGAUAAUAUAGUCUAUAAAGAGGAAUAUCUCGCACACGUUCUCCAACUCAUCCUGCAGGUGGUAUUUGAGUCUGCGAAGGAUAGGCCUAUCAUCUUCUCAAGCUUUCAACCCGAUGCAGCGCGGUUGAUCAGGAAGAUGCAGAGCAUAUACCCUGUGUUCUUCCUCACCAACGGGGGAUCAGAAAUUUACAGGGACACGAGAAGAAACUCCCUGGAUGAAGCCAUUAAACUAUGCUUGGAAAGUGGCCUGCAAGGAAUCGUGUCUGAAGUUAAAGCUAUAUUUAGAAAUUCUGGAGAAAUAGCUAGAAUUAAGGAGUCCAACCUCUCUCUCAUAUCUUAUGGCCAAUUGAAUAAUGUGGCAGAGGCAGUGCAUAUGCAGUACAUAAUGGGUGUGGAGGGAGUGAUUGUGGACUUGGUCCAAGAGGUCACAGUGGCAGUCUCAGGUUUCACCAAUCCUGCAGCUUAUGAAAAGGUCAAGGAAGAUGAAGAAGGAAGAGGCUUCCUUGGGGAGGAAAGGCAGAUGCAAGUUAAAGCAAAGCCCCAUUUCUCACACCACGAACUCUCCUUCCUGCUGAAACUCAUUUCAGAACUUAUGAUCCAGCAUUGAGGGCAAUAAAAACCUGCCUUGUGUGCAGGAGAAAACUGGGGGAAAAAAAAAAAGGUACAACGAGCGAAAGAGGAAAGCAAGUUUUUGCUACUUAACUGUUAAUAAUGGAGGCAGGGGAAAGUGUGUUUGGAAGGAGGGGGUUUUGGCAUUUGGUGGAGAGAGGAAGGGAGGAGGGUGAAGGUAGGAAGCUUCAAAGAAUGGGAGGGAAGAGGCUUUUGACACCACCUUCUCCACGUGCGCCCAAACAGGCCCUUAUCCUCCUUUUUUAUUUUGUAUAAUUGUAUUUGAUUUGAUCCCUCCCUUUUGAGGAGAAGCACGAAGUUUCCUUAAGUGUAACUUCGUGUGCCCAACUACCCAAAAAAAUGUAAACACCAUUCUCUCUCUCUCUCUCUCUCUCUCUCUGCCAAAUGGUAUCUCACUUAAAGAAUGCUUUGAAAUUUUGAGUUAAUAUAUAGUUUAGAAGUGAUUGGAAACAUGAAUUAGAAGAAUAAAUUUAAAUUUAAGUCUCAAUAUUCAUGUUGCCAAACGUAAGAUGAGAGGAUUUUUAUGUAAAUUUUAAAUGAUAAUAUUUCAUUCCA
Malania oleifera is the source of this 1869-nucleotide RNA transcript. It is a transcript of the gene named glycerophosphodiester phosphodiesterase GDPD2-like, with no coding region annotated. The record is from RefSeq and is a predicted model, not a curated record. Lineage: Eukaryota; Viridiplantae; Streptophyta; Magnoliopsida; Santalales; Ximeniaceae. The transcript has 9 exons.